UGGGGAAUAUUGCGCAAUGGAGGAAACUCUGACGCAGCGACGCCGCGUGGGUGAUGAAGGUCUUCGGAUCGUAAAGCCCUGUCGGAAGGGAAGAAAAACACGGAAGCUAAUAUCCUCCGUGCUUGACGGUACCUUUAAAGGAAGCACCGGCUAACUACGUGCCAGCAGCCGCGGUAAUACGUAGGGUGCUAGCGUUGUUCGGAAUCAUUGGGCGUAAAGCGAGUGCAGGCCGUUAGUUAAGUCGGAUGUGAAAUCCCUGGGCUCAACCGAGGAAGUGCAUUCGAAACUAACUAGCUAGAAGAUGGUAGAGGAAGGUGGAAUUCCAAGUGUAGAGGUGAAAUUCGUAGAUAUUUGGAGGAAUACCGGUGGCGAAGGCGGCCUUCUGGACCAUUCUUGACGCUGAGACUCGAAAGCGUGGGUAGCAAACAGGAUUAGAUACCCAAGUAGUCCCUGAGCGGGCUGGCAAGGCGCAU
RNAcentral lists this ribosomal RNA (473 nucleotides) under uncultured bacterium. RNAcentral's name for it is "bacterial SSU rRNA". It matches the Rfam family "Bacterial small subunit ribosomal RNA", at positions 355 to 825 of the family's 1533-position model. The record is from RNAcentral.